CUCUCGGCAACGGAUAUCUCGGCUCUCGCAUCGAUGAAGAACGUAGCGAAAUGCGAUACUUGGUGUGAAUUGCAGAAUCCCGUGAAUCAUCGAGUCUUUGAACGCAAGUUGCGCCCGACGCCAUUCGGCCGAGGGCACGUCUGCCUGGGUGUCACGCACCGUUGCC
This 166-nucleotide ribosomal RNA is filed under the name Fagus sylvatica (European beech). RNAcentral's name for it is "5.8S ribosomal RNA". It matches the Rfam family "5.8S ribosomal RNA". Rfam says of the family: 5.8S ribosomal RNA (5.8S rRNA) is a component of the large subunit of the eukaryotic ribosome. It is transcribed by RNA polymerase I as part of the 45S precursor that also contains 18S and 28S rRNA. Lineage: Eukaryota; Viridiplantae; Streptophyta; Magnoliopsida; Fagales; Fagaceae. The record is from RNAcentral. RNAcentral also lists the same sequence under 3 other names.